CCCUUAGAUGUCCUGGGCCGCACGCGCGUUACACUGAUGCAUUCAACGAGCUUAUAACCUUGGCCGAGAGGCCUGGGCAAUCUUGUUAACGUGCAUCGUGAUAGGGAUAGAUUAUUGAAAUUAUUAAUCUUGAACGAGGAAUUCCUAGUAAACGCAGAUCAUCAAUCUGCAUUGAUUACGUCCCUGCCCUUUGUACACACCGCCCGUCGCUACUACCGAUUGAAUGGCUUAGUGAGGCUUCCGGAUUGGUUUAGAGAAGGGGGCAACUCCAUCUUGGAACCGAGAAGCUAGUCAAACUUGGUCAUUUAGAGGAAGUAAAAGUCGUAACA
Molecule: ribosomal RNA, 329 nt
Filed under: uncultured eukaryote
Lineage: Eukaryota
Description: partial 18S ribosomal RNA
Rfam family: Eukaryotic small subunit ribosomal RNA
Source: RNAcentral